UACGUAGGGUGCGAGCGUUGUCCGGAAUUAUUGGGCGUAAAGAGCUCGUAGGCGGUCUGUCGCGUCGGUCGUGAAAACUUGGGGCUUAACCCUGAGCUUGCGGUCGAUACGGGCAUGACUGGAGUUCGGCAGGGGAGACUGGAAUUCCAGGUGUAGCGGUGGAAUGCGUAGAUAUCUGGAGGAAUACCGGUGGCGAAGGCGGCAUCCUGGGCCGGCAUUGACGCUGAACAGCGAAAGCUAGGGGAGCAAACGGG
Molecule: ribosomal RNA, 254 nt
Filed under: uncultured bacterium
Lineage: Bacteria
Description: partial 16S ribosomal RNA
Rfam family: Bacterial small subunit ribosomal RNA
Source: RNAcentral